UACGUAGGGGCUAGCGUUAUCCGGAAUUACUGGGCGUAAAGGGUGCGUAGGUGGUUUCUUAAGUCAGAGGUGAAAGGCUACGGCUCAACCGUAGUAAGCCUUUGAAACUGGGAAACUUGAGUGCAGGAGAGGAGAGUGGAAUUCCUAGUGUAGCGGUGAAAUGCGUAGAUAUUAGGAGGAACACCAGUUGCGAAGGCGGCUCUCUGGACUGUAACUGACACUGAGGCACGAAAGCGUGGGGAGCAAACAGGAUUAGAUACCCGCGUAGUCCCUGAGCGGG
This 280-nucleotide ribosomal RNA is filed under the name uncultured prokaryote. RNAcentral describes it as "partial 16S ribosomal RNA". It matches the Rfam family "Bacterial small subunit ribosomal RNA", at positions 524 to 803 of the family's 1533-position model. The record is from RNAcentral.